AAACGGGCUCAGUCAAGUGUGAAAAGGAGAAUUUGAGAGAUAGCAACGAUGUGGUGCUGCACUGCUGCUCUCUUACUGCUAGCUUGCUACUUCUAGCUGAAUUUUGCUAUUUCUGCUAGCUGAAUUUUGCAUAGGCAUGGCGAGCUGUUUGAUUUCGUGGCAGGCCUGCUUAUCCUCAAUGUGUUCUGACUCGGAGGUUGGAGCCAGUUCGCAACUUUGAAUGUUGAAGCUGACAACGGACUCAAGCACUCCACCAUAUUCUUAGUAUUGCAUACCGUCACCGCUAAGGACUUAGCCAAGCUGCUUUUAAAAGUCAUAUAACAACUAAGUGCUAGAUAUUGUCAUAGAUAGAUUUUGGUGGAUAGGAAUUUAAUAAGCUACAAAGUAGUGUAGGUCGAGAUGAACAAAGAAUGGUAUGCAAAAUGUGUAACAUUAUUUGAUACAUUUACAUUGACAGGUCUGGACUCGCUGGAGGGUUGUAUGCUUUUGAUUGAUGAAGCUUAACACUUCUGCUCACUCAUUAUUUAUUCUAUAUUCAUAAAAUAUAUAUUUAUUUUGUACUAUAUCAUAGCAUGUUUGACGGGCAGAAGAAGAGACGGCCAUGGUGCUAGCUGAUAGCACCUGCUAACUUAAGAAGUCUACAUACCUUUUAUCUAAUAACUAAAAGAGAGUUUCUUACCAACUACUGAGCUUACAAGUCUUAGAUCUGUCUCUAAAGCCACUACUCAACUUCAUGUUGGUACUUUGCUGUAGAGUAUACCUCUAUAAUUCUCCAUCUAAGAUAGUACUAAAGUUUAUUGAUGAUGCUUAGUUUCAGGAUAUGCCUUACAAGCCAUCCAUGUGAGAUAUCCAAGGGGUUCAAGACGGAUUGAAAAGGAGCUGGAGUAGGUGGUCGAUUGAGGAAGGAGCUGGAGCAGAGGUGGAAUCGAGGCUGCCCCUACGUGCGCUAAGAAGCUGCCAGAAAUUAUGAGGCGCCUGCCAUCCGGACACUGCUGCGCUUUCUCCAUCUCUCAAGAUAAUUUUCUUCAGUUCAUCGAACUACGUGCUGAAACAUGUGUAUUGUUUCUCAAUAUAUCGGGCAUCAACCCACCUCCCAUGAGAUCUCUGAAUUUUCGACGCAUAUUACAUUUGCUGAAUUAUUUCCUCCAGAUAACUAUGCUUGGAUUCACAAAUGCGCGCAAUGCUUUCAAGUAGAGGUUAGUUCUACUUAAGCUGUGCUAUUCCACUUUCAAGUUUUUGGUCCUAGAAGUGUAAUACUUGGUAGGUUAGCUGUAGAAGCAGAAUGUAUAUGGCCUGAAUUUAUAUUUCAGAGUGUAUAAUCUGAUUCAGAGUAUUUUGACCCCUUGUGUUCUGAAACGUUGUGUUGUAUCAUUCUGUCCUGAAAGAAUAGAAGCAAUUCUUCUCUGGGAGAGAAUAUAAACGUUAUUCGCAAACAACAUGCAUCGUCAUUAAGUUUCUUAUUACCAAUUUAAACAUGGUCAGUAAUAGCACAACUAAAGUUUGUGAACAACAUAUCAUUAUGAAAUGGUUGGUUGGAUUGAGUUUUGUAUGGAUUCUACAAGGGCCAUUUCUAUGGAAUUACAAAUUAGUUUUACAUUUUUAUGGCUGGGCUCAUUGUCUUUCGAUUGCCCACAUUCGGAUGGGUUUGUUAUCAAGUGGACAC
Long non-coding RNA from Triticum aestivum (bread wheat), 1663 nucleotides. RefSeq lists it as uncharacterized. Lineage: Eukaryota; Viridiplantae; Streptophyta; Magnoliopsida; Poales; Poaceae. The record is from RefSeq and is a predicted model, not a curated record. The transcript has 3 exons.